RNAcentral lists this ribosomal RNA (384 nucleotides) under Fasciola hepatica (liver fluke). Its description in RNAcentral is "eukaryotic LSU rRNA". The record is from RNAcentral. Lineage: Eukaryota; Metazoa; Platyhelminthes; Trematoda; Plagiorchiida; Fasciolidae.
GUCGUGGCUUGGGUUUUGCCAGCUGGCGUGAUCUCCUCUAUGAGUAAUCAUGUGAGGUGCCAGAUCUAUGGCGUUUCCCUAAUGUAUCCGGAUGCACCCUUGUCUUGGCAGAAAGCCGUGGUGAGGUGCAGUGGCGGAAUCGUGGUUUAAUAAUCGGGUUGGUACUCAGUUGUCAGUGUGUUUGGCGAUCCCCUAGUCGGCACACUUAUGAUUUCUGGGAUAAUUCCAUACCAGGCACGUUCCGUCACUGUCACUUUGUCAUUGGUUUGAUGCUGAACUUGGUCAUGUGUCUGAUGCUAUUUUCAUAUAGCGACGGUACCCUUCGUGGUCUGUCUUCCUGACCUCGGUUCAGACGUGAUUACCCGCUGAACUUAAGCAUAUCAU